Molecule: long non-coding RNA, 584 nt
Organism: Hyla sarda
Lineage: Eukaryota; Metazoa; Chordata; Amphibia; Anura; Hylidae
Exons: 6
Source: RefSeq, a predicted model, not a curated record
CAUCUACCAUGAGUUGGAGAAAAUCUACUCGAUCCUAAAAGGUCAAAGAAAAGGUCAGAGAAAGCACAGGUCGGAAUUCCUCUGGAUCAGUCCAGAUCUCAGGGUUACGAUGCAGCACAAAGGCCGGGAUAACAGUCACAACUCCCUUUGGGAUAGUUACACCAUUGAUCUCAGUUGUUGUCUUACAAACCCGUUCAAUUCUCCCGGCUGCAGGGUAGAAUCGCAAGUUUUCAUUAAGCACCGCAUCAAGAUUGAGCAUCUACCAUGAGUUGGAGAAAAUCUACUCGUUCCUAAGAGGUCAAAGAAAAAGGUCAGAGAGAGCACAGUCGAGGACACUUAAUGGGAGGAAGCAGAAAUUCAGCUUUUCCAAAAGAGGAAUCAGGAAUGGACACAGAACUAUAGUGACGCUGCUCUUGGGGAGAGAUCAUAUAGCUGAGAACACUGCUGUCCAAAGGCCAAGGACAUAUUUACAUGUCAGCCAAGAUACGUGAAUGCAGAGGACUACUUUGGAUUACAGUGACCAGAGUUUUUUUGCUUUAAUAUUAAUAAAAUGGUUAACGAGGGCUUGUGGGGAAAUGUUUUUU